AAAUGUAUAUAUAUUUAAAUCUUCCUGCAAAAACUGCCCUUGGUCAUUGGCCCCAUCGUAUUCUACCCAAGCUAUUGUACCUAAGGUCCAG
Molecule: non-coding RNA, 91 nt
Organism: Ceratotherium simum simum (southern white rhinoceros)
Lineage: Eukaryota; Metazoa; Chordata; Mammalia; Perissodactyla; Rhinocerotidae
Source: RefSeq, a predicted model, not a curated record